AGAGGGGGCAAGCGUUGUUCGGAAUUACUGGGCGUAAAGGGCGCGUAGGCGGCCGCCUAAGUCAGACGUGAAAUCCCUCGGCUCAACCGGGGAACUGCGUCUGAUACUGGGUGGCUUGAAUCCGGGAGAGGGAUGUGGAAUUCCAGGUGUAGCGGUGAAAUGCGUAGAUAUCUGGAGGAACACCGGUGGCGAAGGCGGCAUCCUGGACCGGUAUUGACGCUGAGGCGCGAAAGCCAGGGGAGCAAACGGGAUUAGAUACCCCGGUAGUCCUGGCCCUAAACGAUGAAUGCUUGGUGUGGCGGGUAUCGAUCCCUGCCGUGCCGAAGCUAACGCAUUAAGCAUUCCGCCUGGGGAGUACGGUCGCAAGGCUG
RNAcentral lists this ribosomal RNA (371 nucleotides) under uncultured bacterium. RNAcentral describes it as "bacterial SSU rRNA". It matches the Rfam family "Bacterial small subunit ribosomal RNA", at positions 527 to 896 of the family's 1533-position model. The record is from RNAcentral.